RNAcentral lists this ribosomal RNA (820 nucleotides) under uncultured Rhodopseudomonas sp. RNAcentral describes it as "bacterial SSU rRNA". It matches the Rfam family "Bacterial small subunit ribosomal RNA", at positions 43 to 905 of the family's 1533-position model. The record is from RNAcentral. Lineage: Bacteria; Pseudomonadati; Pseudomonadota; Alphaproteobacteria; Hyphomicrobiales; Nitrobacteraceae.
CAUGCCGAUGCUUACCAUGCAAGUCGAACGGGCGUAGCAAUACGUCAGUGGCAGACGGGUGAGUAACGCGUGGGAACGUACCUUUUGGUUCGGAACAACUGAGGGAAACUUCAGCUAAUACCGGAUAAGCCCUUACGGGGAAAGAUUUAUCGCCGAAAGAUCGGCCCGCGUCUGAUUAGCUAGUUGGUGAGGUAAUGGCUCACCAAGGCGACGAUCAGUAGCUGGUCUGAGAGGAUGAUCAGCCACAUUGGGACUGAGACACGGCCCAAACUCCUACGGGAGGCAGCAGUGGGGAAUAUUGGACAAUGGGGGCAACCCUGAUCCAGCCAUGCCGCGUGAGUGAUGAAGGCCCUAGGGUUGUAAAGCUCUUUUGUGCGGGAAGAUAAUGACGGUACCGCAAGAAUAAGCCCCGGCUAACUUCGUGCCAGCAGCCGCGGUAAUACGAAGGGGCUAGCGUUGCUCGGAAUCACUGGGCGUAAAGGGUGCGUAGGCGGGUUUCUAAGUCAGAGGUGAAAGCCUGGAGCUCAACUCCAGAACUGCCUUUGAUACUGGAAGUCUUGAGUAUGGCAGAGGUGAGUGGAACUGCGAGUGUAGAGGUGAAAUUCGUAGAUAUUCGCGAGAACACCAGUGGCGAAGGCGGCUCACUGGGCCAUUACUGACGCUGAGGCACGAAAGCGUGGGGAGCAAACAGGAUUAGAUACCCUGGUAGUCCAUGCCGUAAACGAUGAAUGCCAGCCGUUAGUGGGUUUACUCACUAGUGGCGCAGCUAACGCUUUAAGCAUUCCGCCUGGGGAGUACGGUCGCAAGAUUAAAACUCAAA